GGGGCUGACUGGUUUUGACAGCAAGGAGAUGGAUUUGUAAGCAUGCAGGCUCACGCAUCAGCAGCCUUGACCACCGAUGCACUAAAUUUAAUUGGCGAAAAUAACUACGCUCUUGCUGCAUAACCGAAGUACAGUAGGUUGGCUUAAUCCCCGCAAAAGUUGCAGGGACAAGACAUCUCCCACAAGCCCCGACCGUCGGCGUGUGAUCCGGAGGUGCUCGCAAAGACGGAAUAGCCGGCACAAUGCCUCGCACUGCCGGUGAAGUUUUAGAGGCUAAGGUCGACCUUGGGUGUCCGCGUCCAGAGCUGUCCCGACAACCAACCACGGAAUAAGCAUGUAGAAAGCAACUCAGUCGCUUGUUUGGACGGCGGUUCGACUCCGCCCAGCUCCACA
Molecule: transfer-messenger RNA, 393 nt
Filed under: bovine gut metagenome
Rfam family: transfer-messenger RNA
About the family: Bacterial tmRNA, also known as 10Sa RNA or SsrA, is named for its dual tRNA and mRNA-like properties. Its role is to liberate the mRNA from a stalled ribosome. To accomplish this part of the tmRNA is used as a reading frame that ends in a translation stop signal.
Source: RNAcentral